Molecule: ribosomal RNA, 392 nt
Filed under: Stramenopiles sp. MAST-4E
Lineage: Eukaryota
Description: partial small subunit ribosomal RNA
Rfam family: Eukaryotic small subunit ribosomal RNA
Source: RNAcentral
AUUCCAGCUCCAAUAGCGUAUAUUAAAGUUGUUGCAGUUAAAAAGCUCGUAGUUGGAUUUCUGGUUGAAGCGACCGGUCGGGCGUUGAUUCGUCUGCACUGGAGUCGGUUUUGGCCAUCCUCUAGGAAAGUGCGUCUGGUAUUAAGUUGUCGGGCGUAUGAUCCUGGUCUUUUACUGUGAAAAAAAUUAGAGUGUUUAAAGCAGGCCUUCGCCUUGAAUACAUUAGCAUGGAAUAAUAAGAUAGGACUUUGGUCUAUUUUGUUGGUUUGCAGACCGAAGUAAUGAUUAAUAGGGAUAGUUGGGGGUAUUUAUAUUCCGAUGUCAGAGGUGAAAUUCUUAGAUUUUCGGAAGAUAAACUUAUGCGAAAGCAUUUACCAAGGAUGUUUUCAUUG